RNAcentral lists this ribosomal RNA (291 nucleotides) under uncultured prokaryote. RNAcentral describes it as "partial 16S ribosomal RNA". It matches the Rfam family "Bacterial small subunit ribosomal RNA", at positions 506 to 796 of the family's 1533-position model. The record is from RNAcentral.
UGUCAGCCGCCGCGGUAAUACGUAGGUGGCAAGCGUUGUCCGGAAUUAUUGGGCGUAAAGGGCUCGCAGGCGGUUCCUUAAGUCUGAUGUGAAAGCCCCCGGCUCAACCGCGGAGGGUCAUUGGAAACUGGGAGACUUGAGUGCAGAAGAGGAAAGUGGAAUUCCAUGUGUAGCGGUGAAAUGCGUAGAGAUAUGGAGGAACACCAGUGGCGAAGGCGACUUUCUGGUCUGUAACUGACACUGAGGCGCGAAAGCGUGGGGAGCAAACAGGAUUAGAAACCCGCGUAGUCC